This 2064-nucleotide ribosomal RNA is filed under the name Triticum aestivum (bread wheat). RNAcentral describes it as "partial small subunit ribosomal RNA". Lineage: Eukaryota; Viridiplantae; Streptophyta; Magnoliopsida; Poales; Poaceae. The record is from RNAcentral.
AUGGCUGGAGGGCCAUUGGUGCUCUGGAACCACCGGUCGAUACAGAUCCUGGUCCUCCUCAGCCUGGGGCUGCAGCUCGUCCUCUUCGUCUUCGCCGGGAUCCGGCGGCGUCAAAACCUCCCCGUGCGGAGGUUCCUCCUCUGGCUAGCGUACCUCAUGGCCGACUCCACGGCCGUGUACGCCCUCGGCCACCUGUCCUUCAGCAGCACCGUGCUCGGGCACCAGCUCGUCGCGUUCUGGGCGCCGUUCCUGCUGCUGCACCUCGGCGGCCCGGACAACAUCACCGCCUAUGCGCUCCAGGACAACCAGCUCUGGCUCCGCCACCUCACCGUCCUCGUCGUGCAGGUCCUCGGGGCGGGCUACGUCCUCAAAAAGCACAUCGCCGUCGCUGGCGGACAUGACAGGAACUUUCUCCUGGUCGCCUCCAUCCUGAUGUUCGCCGUUGGCUUGGUAAAGUACGUGGAGAGGACGUGGUCGCUCAAGUGCAGCACCCUGGAGAGCAUCGGCGCCUCCCUGAAGGUGAAGCGCCCGGCCAUCCACAAGCAUAACCACCCUCAGGACAGAGUCACGGAGGAGGAGUUCAACCUGCGACGAGCCCACUCGCUCUUCCACGUCUGCAAGCGCACCAUGGUCGAUUCCUCGGUGGUCGAGGAGGACUCCAUGGACAGCCUAGACUCCACGGACGGCCUAGAAGAGUACACCAGCAAGCUUAUACAAGGCGUCGAGCUGUGGACGCUGAUGGAGAUCGAGCUCUCCCUCAUGUACGACGUCCUCUACACCAAGGCGGCCGUGGUCCACACCUUCCCCGGCUACCUAAUCCGCGUCCUCUCGCCGCUUACCGUCGCCACCUCCCUGCUCCUGUUCUGGUUCACCGCCAAGGACGACCACACCAGAGCCGACGUCGCCAUCACCUACGUCCUGCUGGGUGGCGCCGUGUUCAUGGAGACGACGUCGCUCCUGAACGCGUUGGCAUCGUCGUGGACCUUCGCGUUCCUGAGCACCACCAGCUGGAGCUGGCUCCGGUACACCACCCUCUGCAACGAGAGAUGGGACAGGUUCCGGCAUGUGGUUGUGUGGCUUCACCAUCUCGUCAAGGGAGGAAUCGCCGCUCAUAGUAGGUACAAGUCACGAAGGUGGUCAUACACCAUCGGGCAGUACAACUUGCUGCACUUCUGCACGCGCCCCGCCGACACGCCGUUCACCAGCCCCCUGCUCGGGAGGCUGGCCAGGGCGCUGACACUCGAUGAGUGGUGGAACAGGAAGCACUACUCGGCGACCGUCGAGAUGACGGAUGUGAUCAGACGUCAUAUAGCUGUGUACAUGAGCCACCUGUACAGCAAGGGGAGGUUCAACACUGACAUGCUGGGGAAGAAGUGGGGUGAGUACCCACUAGACCGCCGCGGUCUUUACCGCGGCGUCCUCAAGGACUCCCUCGGCGUAGAGUUUCAAGAGGGCAUCAUCAUCUGGCACAUCGCCACCGAGGUCUUCCUCACCAAGAGCGAGAAGGCCAAGGCCAUCGACGCCAUGCCUACCGUGCAUGCCAUUAGGGUGAUGUCGGACUACCUCAUGUUCCUCCUGGUGGAACGUCCCUACAUGCUGCCGGGCCAGCCCCAGAAAAGGUUGUACCAACGGACCUGCGAGAGGCUGGUCACCAUGCGAUCUGCUGAUCCUAGGUACCCGAGCCGUGCACGCGUCGUCAAGGAUUUGUUUCGGAUGAGCGAUGCCCCACACUCUAGCAUUUCUAGGGUUGCUGAGAGGGAGGAGCUCGCCAACAACUUGUACGAUGCAUACGAGGACCGAGAGUUCAGCCUCCUUGCUCCUCGUCUCACUCACAUGGCUCGACUCGCCAAGGAGCUGCUGGAGAAGGAGAAGGAUGGCACCGCCAACUCCUUGAACCUUGUCCUUGACGUGUGGAUGGACAUUCUCGUCUACGCUAGCAACAAGUGCAGCAGGGAGUCUCAUGCCCAGAAGCUCAACAGUGGUGGCGAGCUGACCACCAUCGUGUGGCUUAUGGCAGAAUACAUCUACCAAGCAUCGGUUGCCCAGAGAGAUGAUGUAGUAUAA